Molecule: unclassified non-coding RNA, 339 nt
Filed under: soil metagenome
Description: partial contains 5.8S ribosomal RNA, internal transcribed spacer 2, and large subunit ribosomal RNA
Rfam family: 5.8S ribosomal RNA (bases 2-121)
Source: RNAcentral
AGAUGAAGAACGUAGCGAAAUGCGAUAAGUAAUGUGAAUUGCAGAAUUCAGUGAAUCAUCGAAUCUUUGAACGCACAUUGCGCCCGCCAGUAUUCUGGCGGGCAUGCCUGUUCGAGCGUCAUUUCAACCCUCAAGCCCCCGCGGCUUGGUGUUGGGGGCCUGCGCACCGCAGCCCCCUAAAGACAGCGGUGGGCGUGGCCUGGUACCGAACGUAGUAGACUCUACCCUCGUUCGCGGUCCAGGGCGCGCUCCGGCCGGUAAACCCCCAUCUUUUACAAUGGUUGACCUCGGAUCAGGUAGGAAUACCCGCUGAACUUAAGCAUAUCAAUAAGCGGAGGA